Molecule: long non-coding RNA, 1818 nt
Organism: Pezoporus occidentalis (night parrot)
Lineage: Eukaryota; Metazoa; Chordata; Aves; Psittaciformes; Psittacidae
Exons: 2
Source: RefSeq, a predicted model, not a curated record
UUGGUUAUUGGGUAUCCAAACAAAAGGCCCAACUAAUCCAAACCUGAGUUUCCUACCUAGGAUAUGAAAUAACAGGAGGACAGAGGGAACUUGGGACUGCCAGAAAAGAAGCCAUUUGCCAGACUCCAUGACCAUUGACCCUCAAGGACCUCUGGACAUUCCUGGGAAUGACAGGAUGGUGCAGACUUUGGAUCCAUGAUUAUGGUGUUCUGGAACAAUCAACAGAACCACUAACACAUGACUGCUUGACCACCAUAGAGACUGUAUAUUCGAGCUGAGCAGACUUGAAAGAAAACCCUCUGGAAGGUGCUGAUUCUUGGUUUACUGAUGGUAGUAGCUUCAUGAAAAAUGGUAAAUGAAAGGCAGGAUAUGCUGUUACCACCACUUCACAGGUAAUAGAAGCUAAACCUUUACCUGAGAACACCUCUGCCCGGAAGGCAGAAAUAAUAGCAUUAACGAGAGCCCUGGAACUGGCUAAAGAUAAAAGGAUAAAUAUUUGGACUGAUUCUAAAUAUGCUUUUGGUGUGGUACAUGCACAUGGUGCUAUCUGGAAAGAAGUAGGACUUUUGAACACACAAGGGAAACAGAUUAAACAUGCUACAGAAAUUCUACAGUUACUGGAAGCUGUUCAGCUACCUGAAGAAGUAGCUAUUAUGCACUGUAAAGGACAUCAACAAGGAGAUCCUCUACAGGAGAAGUGGAGCAGACUGUACCAGGUAUUACUGACCACCUUUACAGCAGUGAAGAUAAAGGAACAACCUGCCUGGAUACAUUAUUCAAGAAUUAAGAAAGCACCAGAGCCAGAGAAGACAUGGAAGAUCGAACCUUCAGGACCCUUAUGUAUGAAAUUACGUCGGUCAUAAUUUGGACUCAUAUGAUAACUGGCACACAAACCUGGGACCAGAAUUUAUACCUGAAAUGAGUGCAGAAUGUUACUAAUGUUUUUAAUUGCAGUGACUGUUGGGUGUGUGCACAGUUGCCUAAAUCAGGAGAAAGCCUGAAUCUCCUAUUAAUUGGAGCUCCAAUUCCUAACACUGUCUCAUGGACAAAUUUGUGGGUGAACACUAGCAAUCUGUAUUCGAAGGAAAGGUUAAAAUUUGGAAGAGUUAAUCCUAAUCCAGGUAAUAAAUAUUACACCUGUGCACAAAGAUGUAUUAUACCAGGAACCAGGGUAGGAAAUCUUGCUUAAAUGCCACAGAUGUAGGUCACCAUUCAAAUUGCAAUCAUACUAUUAAUAUAGAUGGUAUCAUAGUUCAGUGGUGGCCCGUUCCUAAAGGGAAAGGAUGGUAUUGGUUAUGUGGAAAAAAUGCUUAUAAGACUCUACCCCGCAGCUGGAAGGGGGCAUGCACCUUAGGUGCUGUAAUACCCAAUUUUACUAUUAUCGACAGGUAUCCUUCCGGGACCUGGAUUAGAAGUUUUGCUAAAUGGAUUAAGCAAGGGUUUAACCCUAUUAUUGAACGACACAGUGCAUUUCAUAGUUUUGUAAGAGGGCUAAUUCCAUCUUUGGGAGUAAGUGAAUUAGAGAAGGCAAUUGUAAAUAUCUCAGCAACCAUAGAGGAAAUGGAAAGUAAAAACAUUGAUAAAAUUCAGGCAGAACAACAAGAGAUAACCAGACUGUCUAAAGUGGUAUUGCAAAACUGAAUGGCUGUAGACAUGUUAUUGGCAUCACAAGGAGGGGUUUGUUCCAUAAUCUAUGAAAGCUGUUGUUCCUAUAUAGACCAAAGUGGCAGAAUUGAAACAGAUCUGGAGAAAAUUUGGAAACAAACUAAGAUAUUUCAUGAAAUGGCCAUGGAUGACACCUCCUGGGGUUUGAAGAAA